This 497-nucleotide ribosomal RNA is filed under the name uncultured bacterium. RNAcentral's name for it is "partial 16S ribosomal RNA". It matches the Rfam family "Bacterial small subunit ribosomal RNA", at positions 28 to 507 of the family's 1533-position model. The record is from RNAcentral.
GAUGAACGCUGGCGGCGUGCCUAAUACAUGCAAGUCGAGCGAACGGACGAGAAGCUUGCUUCUCUGAUGUUAGCGGCGGACGGGUGAGUAACACGUGGAUAACCUACCUAUAAGACUGGGAUAACUUCGGGAAACCGUAGCUAAUACCGGAUAAUAUUUUGAACCGCAUGGUUCAAAAGUGAAAGACGGUCUUGCUGUCACUUAUAGAUGGAUCCGCGCUGCAUUAGCUAGUUGGUAAGGUAACGGCUUACCAAGGCAACGAUGCAUAGCCGACCUGAGGGGAUGAUCGGCCACACUGGAACUGAGACACGGUCCAGACUCCUACGGGAGGCAGCAGUAGGGAAUCUUCCGCAAUGGGCGAAAGCCUGACGGAGCAAUGCCGCGUGAGUGAUGAAGGUCUUCGGAUCGUAAAGCUCUGUUAUUAGGGAAGAACAUAUGUGUAAGUAACUGUGCACAUCUUGACGGUACCUAAUCAGAAAGCCACGGCUAACUACGUG